GAUGAACGCUGGCGGCGUGCCUAAUACAUGCAAGUCGAACGAACAUAUUAGGAGCUUUUUCUUCUGACGUUAGCUGCGAAAGGGUGAGUAACACGUGGAUAAUCUACCUUUAAAACUGGGCUAAUCUCGGAAAACUGGCGCCAAUACCGCGUAAUAUAUUCAACCUCAUAGUUCAAUAUCGCAUGACGGUUUGGCUGUCACUUUUAGAUGGAUCCGUGCUCCAUUAUCUAGUUGGUAAGGUAAUGGCAUACCAAGGAAGCGAGGCGAAGCUGACAUGAAGGGAUGAUAGACGACACGGGUACAGAGACAGGGUCCAGACUCCGAAGGGGGGAAGCAGUAGAGAAUCUUCCGCGAGGGGCGAAAGGGUGACGGAGCAAAACCGCGGGAGUGAUGAAGGACUUCGGAUCGUAAAACUCUGUUGUUAGGGAAAAACAAAUGCGCAAGCAACAGUGAACGUAUUGACGGUACCUAAUCAGAAAGCCACGGCUAAAUACGUG
This 497-nucleotide ribosomal RNA is filed under the name uncultured bacterium. Its description in RNAcentral is "partial 16S ribosomal RNA". It matches the Rfam family "Bacterial small subunit ribosomal RNA", at positions 28 to 507 of the family's 1533-position model. The record is from RNAcentral.